Molecule: long non-coding RNA, 758 nt
Organism: Medicago truncatula (barrel medic)
Lineage: Eukaryota; Viridiplantae; Streptophyta; Magnoliopsida; Fabales; Fabaceae
Exons: 2
Source: RefSeq, a predicted model, not a curated record
GAUUUUAAAUAAUGACUUUAAUUUUCUUUUUAUGGCUUUCUUACAAGUGCUAAAACAAUUCAUUGCAACAUUUAAUGUUUGUUACAUCUAAUGGAGAAUAAUAAGACCGAAAUUAUUAAGUUUGUUUAUGCUAUGAUCAUAUUUAUUUUUGUAUUUUUUGAUGUAAGUGAUGUAAUCGCUGGAGAAUCUUGGUUUUGUUUUCAGGACAUGACUUGUCCUCAUAAUUUGUGUUUUCCUUCGAAAGCAGUUUGUAUUAGCUCUCAAUGUAUAUGCAUCUAACUUUUACAGUUAAGUUCAAAGUUCAUUUUAUGUUAUUUACAAGCUUAUAGUUUUAUUUACAUUUCAUGAUGUUUUCACUCUUCUUACGAUUACUUUAACAUUUUGAUUUAUAUUACUUCGUCCUUGUGAUUUUCUUGAGAGGUCCUGAAGCAUGUUAAGUAUAUUAUGCAAGUGUAGUCUCAUUUGUUUUCUUUUAGAAGAUGGAGAACACCAAUGUCGCACCAUAAUUAUAUACUUUGACAAUUAAAGUGCAUUUGAUGAAGACCUACACAGAGCAAUGAGAAAACAAACUAUGAAUAACAUAAUUCAUAAUUUUAGAACAAAUUAUUGUUUGCUUCAUUUUGAUUUUUUCUUCUUGAUCAAUUUGUUUGAUCUAAUUUAUAUAUAGUUUUAGAAAACUAAAUAAAGUGAGGUUUGGAACAUGCAUGUAAUGUCAUUAAGUAUCUUCUAUCAAUUUGUACGCGAAGUUUGUAUGUGCA